AUGGUUAACGUGACGUGGUGUGAUCAUAACAACAUACAGGUACUCAAGUCCUUCUGUUCGCCUGAUUUAGAAUUCCUCACAAUCAAAUGUCGACCGCAUUAUCUACCAAGGGAAUUCUCUUCGAUUAUAAUCACAGCCGUAUAUAGUCCCCCCCAAGCAGACACAUCGAUGGCUCUGAACGAACUUUAUUUGACUCUUUGCAAACUGGAAUCCAUUUAUCCGGAGGCUGCAUUCAUUGUAGCUGGGCAUUUUAACAAGGCUAAUCUGAAAACAAGACUCCCUACAUUUUAUCAGCAUAUCGAUUGCGCAACCAGGGCUGGAAAAAGCUUGGAUCACUGCUAUUCUAACUUCCACGACGCAUAUAAGGCCCUGCCCCGCCCUCCUUUUGGAAAAGCUGACCACGACUCCAUUUUGUUGAUCCCUGCCUACAGACAGAAACUAAAACAAGAAGCUCCCGCGAUGAGGUCUGUUCAACGCUGGUCCGACCAAUCUGAUUCCACACUCCAAGACUGCUUCCAUCACGUGGACUGGGAUAUGUUUCGUAUUGCGUCAGACAACAACAUUGACGAAUACGCUGAUUCGGUGAGCGAGUUCAUUAGAACGUGCGUUGAAGAUGUCGUUCCCAUAGCAACGAUUAAAACAUUCCCAAACCAGAAACCGUGGAUUGAUGGCAGCAUUCGCGUGAAACUGAAAGCCCGAACCACUGCUUUUAAUCAGGGCAAGGUGACCGGAAACAUGACCGAAUACAAACAGUGUAACUAUUCCCUCCGCAAGGCAAUCAAACAAGCUAAGCGUCAGUAUAGAGACAAAGUAGAAUCUCAAUUCAACGGCUCAGACACAAGAGGUAUGUGGCAGGGUCUACAGUCAAUCACGGAUUACUUUUUUGCCCGCUUUGAGGACAAUACAGUGCCACUGACACGGCCCGCAACUAAAACAUGCGGACUCUCCUUCACUGCAGCCGAAGUGAGGAAAACAUUUAAACGUGUCAACCCUCGCAAGGCUGCAGGCCCAGACGGCAUCCCCAGCCGCACCCUCAGAGCAUGCGCAGACCAGCUGGCUGGUGUGUUUACGGACAUAUUCAAUCAAUCCCUAUCCCAGUCUGUUGUUCCCACAUGCUUCAAGAGGGCCACCAUUGUUCCUGUUCCCAAGAAAGCUAAGGUAACUGAGCUAAACGAGCUAAACUGUAGCACUCACUUCCGUCAUCAUGAAGUGCUUUGA
This 1218-nucleotide long non-coding RNA is filed under the name Oncorhynchus mykiss (rainbow trout). RNAcentral's name for it is "lncRNA (ENSOMYG00000076048.1)". The record is from RNAcentral. Lineage: Eukaryota; Metazoa; Chordata; Actinopteri; Salmoniformes; Salmonidae.